CCGUACCUAUCGUUGCUUCGGCGGGAACGCCCCGGCGCCCUGCGCCCGGAUCCAGGCGCCCGCCGGAGACCCCAAACUCUUGUGUUUUUUUCAGUAUUCUCUGAGUGGCAAACGCAAAAAUAAAUCAAAACUUUUAACAACGGAUCUCUUGGCUCUGGCAUCGAUGAAGAACGCAGCGAAAUGCGAUAAGUAAUGUGAAUUGCAGAAUUCAGUGAAUCAUCGAAUCUUUGAACGCACAUUGCGCCCGUUAGCAUUCUAGCGGGCAUGCCUGUCCGAGCGUCAUUUCAACCCUCAGGGUCCCCGUUCCGGCGGGGAACCUGGUGUUGGGGAUCGGCCCGCCCCGUGCGGCGCCGUCCCCCAAAUUCAGUGGCGGUCUCGCUGCAGCCUCCCCUGCGUAGUAGUUACAACCUCGCAUCGGAGCUCAGCGCGGCCACGCCGUAAAACCCCCGACUUUCUGAACGUUG
This 464-nucleotide unclassified non-coding RNA is filed under the name Stachybotrys cf. chlorohalonatus DSM 27589. RNAcentral's name for it is "Stachybotrys cf. chlorohalonata DSM 27589 sequence contains ITS1, 5.8S rRNA gene, ITS2". The stretch from base 129 to 282 matches the Rfam family "5.8S ribosomal RNA". The record is from RNAcentral. Lineage: Eukaryota; Fungi; Ascomycota; Sordariomycetes; Hypocreales; Stachybotryaceae.